UACGGAGGGUGCGAGCGUUGUCCGGAAUCACUGGGCGUAAAGGGCGCGUAGGUGGCACGGUAAGCGUGUGGUGAAAGCUCGGGGCUCAACCCCGAGUCGGCCAUGCGAACUGCUGCGCUUGAGCACUGUAGAGGCAGACGGAAUUCCGGGUGUAGCGGUGGAAUGCGUAGAGAUCCGGAAGAACACCGGUGGCGAAGGCGGUCUGCUGGGCAGUAGCUGACACUGAGGCGCGACAGCGUGGGGAGCAAACAGGAUUAGAAACCCCAGUAGUCC
RNAcentral lists this ribosomal RNA (273 nucleotides) under uncultured bacterium. RNAcentral's name for it is "partial 16S ribosomal RNA". It matches the Rfam family "Bacterial small subunit ribosomal RNA", at positions 524 to 796 of the family's 1533-position model. The record is from RNAcentral.